RNAcentral lists this ribosomal RNA (492 nucleotides) under uncultured bacterium. RNAcentral describes it as "bacterial SSU rRNA". It matches the Rfam family "Bacterial small subunit ribosomal RNA", at positions 28 to 514 of the family's 1533-position model. The record is from RNAcentral.
GAUGAACGCUAGCGGCAGGCUUAAUACAUGCAAGUCGUGGGGCAGCAGGUUUGUAGCAAUACAGAUGCUGGCGACCGGCAAACGGGUGCGGAACACGUACAGAGCCUUCCUUUGAGCGGGGAAUAGCCCAGAGAAAUUUGGAUUAAUACCCUAUAGUAUAAUGAAGUGGCAUCACUUUAUUAUUAAAGAUUUAUCACUCGAAGAUGGCUGUGCGGCUGAUUAGGUAGUUGGCGGGGUAAAGGCCCACCAAGCCUGCGAUCAGUAACUGGUGUGAGAGCACGACCAGUCACACGGGCACUGAGACACGGGCCCGACUCCUACGGGAGGCAGCAGUAAGGAAUAUUGGUCAAUGGAGGCAACUCUGAACCAGCCAUGCCGCGUGGAGGAUGAAGGUCCUCUGGAUUGUAAACUUCUUUAUAUGGGACGAAAAAGGCUUUCUAAGUCGUCUGACGGUACCAUAUGAAUAAGCACCGGCUAACUCCGUGCCAGCAG